This 447-nucleotide ribosomal RNA is filed under the name uncultured bacterium. RNAcentral describes it as "partial 16S ribosomal RNA". It matches the Rfam family "Bacterial small subunit ribosomal RNA", at positions 29 to 523 of the family's 1533-position model. The record is from RNAcentral.
AACGAACGCUGGCGGCAGGCUUAACACAUGCAAGUCGAGCGCCCCGCAAGGGGAGCGGCAGACGGGUGAGUAACGCGUGGGAAUCUACCCAUCCCUACGGAAUAGCUCCGGGAAACUGGAAUUAAUACCGUAUACGCCCUACGGGGGAAAGAUUUAUCGGGGAUGGAUGAGCCCGCGUUGGAUUAGCUAGUUGGUGGGGUAAAGGCCUACCAAGGCGACGAUCCAUAGCUGGUCUGAGAGGAUGAUCAGCCACAUUGGGACUGAGACACGGCCCAAACUCCUACGGGAGGCAGCAGUGGGGAAUAUUGGACAAUGGGGGCAACCCUGAUCCAGCCAUGCCGCGUGAGUGAUGAAGGCCUUAGGGUUGUAAAGCUCUUUCACCGGGGAAGAUAAUGACUGUACCCACAGAAGAAGCCCCGGCUAACUCCGUGCCAGCCGCCGCGGUAA